Molecule: ribosomal RNA, 253 nt
Filed under: uncultured bacterium
Lineage: Bacteria
Description: partial 16S ribosomal RNA
Rfam family: Bacterial small subunit ribosomal RNA
Source: RNAcentral
UACGUAGGGAGCGAGCGUUGUCCGGAUUUACUGGGUGUAAAGGGUGCGUAGGCGGCAAUGCAAGUCAGGCGUGAAAGCUCGGGGCUUAACCCCGAAACUGCGCUUGAAACUGUGUUGCUUGAGUGAAGUAGAGGUAGGCGGGAUUCCCGGUGUAGCGGUGAAAUGCGUAGAGAUCGGGAGGAACACCAGUGGCGAAGGCGGCCUACUGGGCUUUAACUGACGCUGAGGCACGAAAGCAUGGGUAGCAAACAGG